AUGGCGCAUCGAUCUUCUUGCUCCGUCUUUAAUUCACGACGAUGUCGUUCUCUUCGUCUUCUUUGCAUGAUCUCUAUUAUGGCUAUCAUUAUUUCUUCAUCUCCGAUCAAUUUCCAUCGUGGCUAUUUUCAUCUUCGUUUCAUCUCUGAUCGAUUUCCGCUCAACCUUCACGAAUUAUUAAGGACGAAGCCGCCAUCUUCAUCUUUGUUCAACCUCAAGCUUCAUAUGACUCAUCUUUUCCGAUGCAACUAG
Molecule: non-coding RNA, 252 nt
Organism: Vicia faba (fava bean)
Lineage: Eukaryota; Viridiplantae; Streptophyta; Magnoliopsida; Fabales; Fabaceae
Source: the annotation of a GenBank genome assembly